UACAGAGGGGGCAAGCGUUGUUCGGAAUUACUGGGCGUAAAGGGCGCGUAGGCGGCCCGCUAAGUCGAACGUGAAAUCCCCGAGCUCAACUCGGGAACUGCGUCCGAUACUGGCGGGCUUGAAUCCGGGAGAGGGAUGCGGAAUUCCAGGUGUAGCGGUGAAAUGCGUAGAUAUCUGGAGGAACACCGGUGGCGAAGGCGGCAUCCUGGACCGGCAUUGACGCUGAGGCGCGACAGCGUGGGGAGCAAACAGG
This 253-nucleotide ribosomal RNA is filed under the name uncultured bacterium. Its description in RNAcentral is "partial 16S ribosomal RNA". It matches the Rfam family "Bacterial small subunit ribosomal RNA", at positions 524 to 776 of the family's 1533-position model. The record is from RNAcentral.